This 433-nucleotide ribosomal RNA is filed under the name uncultured bacterium. Its description in RNAcentral is "partial 16S ribosomal RNA". It matches the Rfam family "Bacterial small subunit ribosomal RNA", at positions 29 to 507 of the family's 1533-position model. The record is from RNAcentral.
AACGAACGCUGGCGGCAGGCCUAACACAUGCAAGUCGAGCGGACCCUUCGGGGUUAGCGGCGGACGGGUGAGUAACGCGUGGGAAUAUGCCCUUCUCUACGGAAUAGUCCUGGGAAACUGGGGGUAAUACCGUAUACGCCCUUUGGGGGAAAGAUUUAUCGGGGAAGGAUUAGCCCGCGUUGGAUUAGGUAGUUGGUGGGGUAAUGGCCUACCAAGCCGACGAUCCAUAGCUGGUUUGAGAGGAUGAUCAGCCACACUGGGACUGAGACACGGCCCAGACUCCUACGGGAGGCAGCAGGUGGGAAUCUUAGACAAUGGGGGCAACCCUGAUCUAGCCAUGCCGCGUGAGUGAUGAAGGCCUUAGGGUUGUAAAGCUCUUUCAGCUGGGAAGAUAAUGACGGUACCAGCAGAAGAAGCCCCGGCUAACUCCGUG